GUGGAUUAGAUACCCUAGUAGUCCACGCCCUAAACGAUGUCUACUAGUUGUCGGGGUUUUCGGACCUUGGUAACGCAGCUAACGCGUGAAGUAGACCGCCUGGGGAGUACGGUCGCAAGAUUAAAACUCAAAGGAAUUGACGGGGGCCCGCACAAGCGGUGGAUGAUGUGGAUUAAUUCGAUGCAACGCGAAAAACCUUACCUGGUCUUGACAUGUCGAGAAUCCCGGAGAGAUCUGGGAGUGCCGCAAGGAACUCGAACACAGGUGCUGCACGGCUGUCGCCAGCU
RNAcentral lists this ribosomal RNA (287 nucleotides) under uncultured bacterium. Its description in RNAcentral is "partial 16S ribosomal RNA". It matches the Rfam family "Bacterial small subunit ribosomal RNA", at positions 773 to 1060 of the family's 1533-position model. The record is from RNAcentral.